CCCCCCCCCCCCAAAAAAAAAAAAAUACUAAAUAACAAAAUCUAUUCUCCAAUUUACCCGCCAAACAGUUCCUUGAAUUUUUUUUAACCUCUCUAACUUUUAAAAUUUCCCAAUUCCCCCCUCUAGUCUUUCUCUUUCUCCCUCUCCCCUUCUCUCGUUCUGGUUCUUGUCUCUCGUCAGAGAAACAACGUCGCUUUUGGGUUAAUUUUUUCAAUGGAUCCGGAUGUGGCGAUCGACCAAAACGCAGCGUUUGAGUCUUCUACGGCGGUAGGAGAGAAAAGAGGGAUCGAAAACGGGGCCGUGUCCCUGGCCAAGAAGCAGCGAUGCGGUGGGGAGUUAAAGAGAGUGGCGGAGAUAGUGCUUGUGCUGUCGGCGAUGGGGAAGAUGAGAGGCGGAGGGAGGAAUCCUACAGCGGCGGAGACGGCGUUGAUGGCUGAGGCUCGUGAGACGUUGGCAGAGAUGUGUGAAGAGAUUUCCCCUAAGGAUAUUGUCGGGAGGGAAGCGAUUGGGAAUGUAAUCGAAGAAUUGGGGCUUAAUUCAAAACUCAAAGAGCAGAGAUUAGGGUUUAGGGGUAUGGGAAUGUCGAUUUUUCAGAAGGUUUUACUUGCUAAAAUUAAGAUGGAAGAACCCAAGAAAUUUGCUGCACCUGCUUCGUAUACAUCUCAGUCAUUGCAAACAAAUGUUGGUGGAUCAGCGGAAAACCGUGGAGCAUCACAUGCAGCUCGACCAAUUCAUGCAACUGUAUCUUCUGGAGGUUUCCCGGUUUUGUCUCCUCCUACUCAUGUUAUAGCAGCAGGUUCAACUCCCUUACAGCAUCAGUUGCCCACCAGCGAUGUAAAAACGCCCACAAUGUCCACUGGACUGCCAAGUGGCCAUUUAGGAAGGGACUCAUCUUCAUUUGCAUAUCCCAGGGUUGAAAGACCGCAAAUUAAGUUUGAUGGAGGAUCAAAUGUGGCUUCUUAUGUCUCCCAAGUACCAGCUAAUUCUUCAGCAAGCCCUACACUCGUGAAUGCUCCGACUUGGUCCAUACAGGCUCAACCUGCAGCAUUAGCUAAAUCUGGGCAAGAAAACAAGGUUUUGACUCAUAACACAACCAAGGUUGAAGGAAGUGCCGGUUUGACUAUGCCACAGAUGGCUCCUCAAGCGGCAAGAGAUCAAACUUUUAGACCAUUCAUUACUCAAACUGCAACUGGAACUUUUCCCAGUGUGCACCAGCCUGUGCAAGGCAUGAACUUUGCACAAGCUCCCCCCUUUGUUAGUAAUCACAAUGAAAUUGCUCAAAUUGUUCAAAAGUUGUUACAACCAAAACUUCAUGAGCGUCCUACUUGGACUCCUCCUUCUAGAGAGUAUAUGAAUAAGGCUUUGACUUGCCAAACGUGCAAACUUACCAUUAAUGAAGUGGAAACUGUACUGCUUUGUGAUGCAUGUGAGAAAGGAUUUCACUUGAAAUGUUUGCAGUCAAACAAUCAGAAAGGAAUCCCUAGAGGUGAGUGGCACUGCUCUAGAUGCUUGUCAUUUUGCAAUGGGAAGCCUUUGCCCCCUAAAUAUGGUCGUGUCAUGAGAAGUAUCAGUGCAUCCAAAGUGCCUUCUAGCAUAGCUGAAGUUCAGUCAUCUUCAGAGAAGAAAGUGGAAAAUUUAGAUCCGAAGGUCAAUCAUGAGAAGGUAACUGCAAAUGGAAGCUCUGCUUUACAGACUCCUGCUGUGGUUGGUACAGUGGACAGCAACUCUGUUGAGUCAGCAUCUGAUUCUAAGAUUCCAAAAGGGAACUCGACAAAACCUUUGGAGGCUGUAUGUGAUUCUCCUUCUGUUGCCGCGGUAAGUGAGAGACCUUCUGAACAUUCUCAAAUGAUUGAAUUUUCUAUUCAUGAAGAAGGGAAAGAUCCAGCGUCAACAUCACAGCCUCCUGAUACAUCAUCUAACACAAUCAGCAAUAAGGCAGAUCAUUCACAGCCUUCAAAUAACUCACAAGAUGCCCAAACAGGGCAGCAAAACUUGGCUGUAGUUACUUCAAAUAAUUGUCAUGAUGAAAGUUCUGAAGUUAAAGAUUUGGAGAAAGGCUGUUUGAAAGGAGAUAGUUACUGCAGUAUACAGAUUAAUCAAAAAGAAGGAGAUGCUGCAGCUGCACAAGCAAAUCCUGGUGGAACUUCUGGAGCUACUACUGAGAAUUCAAGGCAUGCUGAGUUUUCUUCUGAUGGUUUGCAUGCUGUUCGGUGGACUGCUGAUGUACUUCAAUUUGUGGAUGGAAAAAAGUUUUACCAGUCUUGUUGCAUUGAUGGCAUAACUUAUAAACUGCAGGAUCAUGCUCUUGUUCAUUCUGGCCAAGAUAAACUGAUACCGUCUAAGCUUCAGGCAAUGUGGGAGGAUGCUAAAACUGGGUCGAAGUGGGUGGUUGUGAAGAGGUGUUACUUUCCUAGUGAUUUGCCGGAGGCUGUUGCUCGUCCAUGCACACCUGAAAGCAGUGAGGUUUAUGAAUCUAAUAAUGAUAGCACCGUUAUGGCAAGCUCGAUUAAAGGCCCAUGUGAAGUUCUCCCUGCAACUAAAUUUAAGGAAGAAAGUCAAAGUCAGUUAGGAUUUGAGGCAAAUGAAGGAUUAAGGGCAAUUUUCUUGUGCAAAUGGCUUUAUGAUGAAUUCCAAGGAAGCUUUCACCCUAUAUCAAGUUAAUAAUGUUAUGCAUCUGUUUACUUAGCGUGAUAUCACUUUUUGCUGUGGCAAAUUAUAUCCUCUUCUCGAAUCAGGUAAAAAAAAUUGCAGCUCGGGCCUGUUGCACAUCUGAGGAUCAUUACUCGCUAUUGCCUUGUAUCAUAUGUUGUCGUAGUGCUAGUUUUGUAUCAUAGUUUGAUUAGCAAUUUAAAUUGAUAUCUUUCAUGCCUUUCCAAAAUGUUUUAACUAUAUAAUGAAUCUGCUUCACCUUUAAAUAUUUUUCAACUAUUUCUUCUAUAUUAAAUCAUUUUUGGUGCA
Durio zibethinus is the source of this 2958-nucleotide non-coding RNA. The record is from RefSeq and is a predicted model, not a curated record. Lineage: Eukaryota; Viridiplantae; Streptophyta; Magnoliopsida; Malvales; Malvaceae.